Long non-coding RNA from Prionailurus viverrinus (fishing cat), 542 nucleotides. RefSeq lists it as uncharacterized. The transcript has 4 exons. Lineage: Eukaryota; Metazoa; Chordata; Mammalia; Carnivora; Felidae. The record is from RefSeq and is a predicted model, not a curated record.
GUAACCUAUCUCAGCGGUUCGCACACUUUACACUUCAGCCAAUCACAAUCCCCGGAGAUUCGUUAAAGCACAGUUGGCUCCUGCCUUCCCCACCUCAUCCGUCCAACCUCCCCUUUCUGACUCUUUAAGUCUUCCAAGGGCCGGAGAUUUUGCGUUUCUAACAAGUUCCCAGGUGAUGCUGAGGCAGUCGUGAAGAUCAAGAGCUAGCGUUCACGUUUCAUUUCGUUCCAACCCCGGCCUCUUUUCCUCGGAAUGUUAGACUCUUACUUUUCCUCUUGAGUAUGCGCCAAGCCUAUGUGUGUAGCAGCAAAAGGUUGUCAAGGUCAUCAACAACAAAGGAAGAGUGGGGAACUGCUCCAGAUUCAGACUAAGGAGACAUGACACUCACACGCCAGGCAGAGUCAUGGAUUGGACCCUGAAGCCACUGGAAAUCCAAGUGGAUAGAUAAACAUACCGAGGUGUGGUCAAGCGGUGAAAGGCUAGUCAACCAUAAAGACAGAAUGAAAUGCUGCUAUAUACCAUGACGUGGAUGGAUCCCAAAA